This is a long non-coding RNA of Phoenix dactylifera (date palm), 750 nucleotides long. RefSeq lists it as uncharacterized. Lineage: Eukaryota; Viridiplantae; Streptophyta; Magnoliopsida; Arecales; Arecaceae. The record is from RefSeq and is a predicted model, not a curated record.
UUAUGCCUACCCGCACCCUAGGACCGUCGCGGCGGCCCGCCGGGAACGGGGCGGGGGUCGUGACACUUAUUGAUUCAAGAUUUCAUCUGAGCCUCAUACUUUGCGUCUAUCCUUCUUGCUCUUCCAGAGGUUUUGCGGCAUGGUGAAGCAGAAAACAGCUAAUUCCAAACGGCAAGGCAAUCUUGGAAGGUCUGAUGCUUUUCAGCAGGCAACUGCUUGCAGCUGAGUUUGUUUGGUUGUAGAUACAAUGAUGGGAUUUUCACUUGAUUGAAGUGUUCAUGAUGGUGUGAGAUCUCAAAAAGGAAACCCAGCUUUGGCAGUUGGAAGGAGAAGCAAGGGCAGGGCAGCCUGAGUGCACAUGCUAAAAAUUUAACCCUGGGGUCAUGGAGCACAGAUUGAGUCAGCUUGGGUCAGGAGGUUUUGCCCAUGAUUAUGUGCCAGCACUGGAGGUUUCAUGCAGUGAAUUGCUAGGUGCCCUUGUCAGGUUUGUGCAAUUAUAGGGGAAAUAGGUUUUGCUAGAAUGUCUAAAUAUAAGAUGUCUUAAGACAUUGACUUUGGAAAGAGACCUUGUGCACUUCUUAGAAGGCUCUUAAGAUCUUGGAGAUCUACUAGGCAUUUUUAUAUAUUGUUAUAUAGUAUCAGCUGUUUGUAAGAUAAGAAGCCCUACUCCAUCAAUUGGGGAGAACUAUAAGAAUUCUAUUUGACCAUUAGUUCCUGUGUAAGGCCACAUACUCCAAAAAUGAAAUUAUA